This 253-nucleotide ribosomal RNA is filed under the name uncultured bacterium. Its description in RNAcentral is "partial 16S ribosomal RNA". It matches the Rfam family "Bacterial small subunit ribosomal RNA", at positions 524 to 776 of the family's 1533-position model. The record is from RNAcentral.
UACGUAGGGUGCAAGCGUUGUCCGGAAUUAUUGGGCGUAAAGAGCUCGUAGGCGGUUUGUCACGUCUGCUGUGAAAACGCGAGGCUCAACCUCGCGCCUGCAGUGGGUACGGGCAGACUAGAGUGCGGUAGGGGAGAUUGGAAUUCCUGGUGUAGCGGUGGAAUGCGCAGAUAUCAGGAGGAACACCAGCGGCGAAGGCGGCACUCUGGGCUGGAACUGACGCUGAGGAGCGAAAGCGUGGGUAGCAAACAGG